This 705-nucleotide ribosomal RNA is filed under the name Trugon terrestris. RNAcentral describes it as "partial 12S ribosomal RNA". It matches the Rfam family "Bacterial small subunit ribosomal RNA", at positions 521 to 1508 of the family's 1533-position model. Lineage: Eukaryota; Metazoa; Chordata; Aves; Columbiformes; Columbidae. The record is from RNAcentral.
UCACACAAGAGACCCAAAUUAAUAGUAUGCGGCGUAAAGAGUGGACCCAUGAUUAUUGCAAUAAUUAAGGUCAAAAUGUGGCUAAGCUGUCAUAAGCUUCAUUAGACACACUUAAAACCGCCCUAAAGAUGUCCUUAACUUACACAAUCAAUUAAAUUCCACGAAAGCCAGGGCACAAACUGGGAUUAGAUACCCCACUAUGCCUAGCCCUAAAUCUUGAUGCUUACUUUACCUAAGCGUCCGCCCGAGAACUACGAGCAUAAACGCUUAAAACUCUAAGGACUUGGCGGUGCCCCAAACCCACCUAGAGGAGCCUGUUCUGUAAUCGACAAUCCACGAUACACCCGACCACUUCUUGCUAGAAACAGCUUACAUACCGCCGUCGCCAGCCCACCUCCCUUGAGAGCACAACAGUGGGCGUAAUCGCCCUAACCCCGCUAGUAAGACAGGUCAAGGUAUAGCCCAUGAAGUGGAAGUAAUGGGCUACAUUUUCUAACCUAGAAAACCCUAUUUUCAACGGAAGGGGACAUGAAACAACCCCCAGAAGGCGGAUUUAGCAGUAAAGUGGGAUAAUAAAGCCCACUUUAAACUGGCUCUGAGGCACGUACAUACCGCCCGUCACCCUCUUCACAAGCUCCGACUUCGUAUAAAUAAUGCACUUGCUCGCCAAAGAUGAGGUAAGUCGUAACAAGGUAAGUGUACCGG